GAUGAACGCUGGCGGCGUGCCUAAUACAUGCAAGUCGAGCGAACGGACGAGAAGCUUGCUUCUCUGAUGUUAGCGGCGGACGGGUGAGUAACACGUGGAUAACCUACCUAUAAGACUGGGAUAACUUCGGGAAACCUGAACUAAUACCGGAUGAUAUUUUGAACCGCAUGGUUCAAAAGUGAAAGACGGUCUUGCUGUCACUUAUAGAUGGAUCCGCGCUGCAUUAGCUAGUUGGUAAGGUAACGGCUUACCAAGGCAACGAUGCAUAGCCGACCUGAGAGGGUGAUCGGCCACACUGGAACUGAGACACGGUCCAGACUCCUACGGGAGGCAGCAGUAGGGAAUCUUCCGCAAUGGGCGAAAGCCUGACGGAGCAACGCCGCGUGAGUGAUGAAGGUCUUCGGAUCGUAAAACUCUGUUAUUAGGGAAGAACAUAUGUGUAAGUAACUGUGCACAUCUUGACGGUACCUAAUCAGAAAGCCACGGCUAACUACGUG
This 497-nucleotide ribosomal RNA is filed under the name uncultured bacterium. RNAcentral's name for it is "partial 16S ribosomal RNA". It matches the Rfam family "Bacterial small subunit ribosomal RNA", at positions 28 to 507 of the family's 1533-position model. The record is from RNAcentral.